Molecule: ribosomal RNA, 253 nt
Filed under: uncultured bacterium
Lineage: Bacteria
Description: partial 16S ribosomal RNA
Rfam family: Bacterial small subunit ribosomal RNA
Source: RNAcentral
UACGGGGGGGGCAAGCGUUGUUCGGAAUUACUGGGCGUAAAGGGCUUGUAGGUGGCCAACUAAGUCAGACGUGAAAUCCCUCGGCUUAACCGGGGAACUGCGUCUGAUACUGGAUGGCUUGAGUGUGGGAGAGGGAUGCGGAAUUCCAGGUGUAGCGGUGAAAUGCGUAGAUAUCUGGAGGAACACCGGUGGCGAAGGCGGCAUCCUGGACCGACACUGACGCUGAGGAGCGAAAGCCAGGGGAGCAAACGGG